Molecule: transfer RNA, 64 nt
Filed under: Planctomycetota bacterium
Lineage: Bacteria; Pseudomonadati; Planctomycetota
Description: tRNA-Ser
Source: RNAcentral
GCGUAGGCGUGGAACCGGAUUUCUAAUCCGAAUGUCGCAGGUUCGAGUCCUGCCGGGCGUGCCA